AGGGGUUUAGCUCACUGGGAGAGCACAUGCUUUGCAUGUAUGAAGUCUUGGGUUCAAUCCCCAGCAUCUCCA
This is a non-coding RNA of Danionella cerebrum, 72 nucleotides long. The record is from the annotation of a GenBank genome assembly. NCBI's taxonomy places the organism in Eukaryota, Metazoa, Chordata, Actinopteri, Cypriniformes, Danionidae.